This is a non-coding RNA of Paramuricea clavata, 1161 nucleotides long. The record is from the annotation of a GenBank genome assembly. Lineage: Eukaryota; Metazoa; Cnidaria; Anthozoa; Malacalcyonacea; Plexauridae.
UGAGCAUAGAAUAAGAAAUGAAUAGAAGGGCAACUCACGUGUGCAACGCGUCCGUAAAUUUUUAUGCGCAUGCGUGAGGUCCGCCAUUACUCUGGCCAGUAACUGGCUGCUGGCGUACUAUAGAAUAUAUAGCGAAAGAAGAUGUUUGGGCUGGAAAAUCGCGUUUUUUGACCAUGUUUAUCAACGACUGUGGGAAUUUUGUACAGAAAUCGAAAUAUAUAAGGUAAGACAUAACGACUGGGCCGUUUGCAGGAAUUUAGAUACUUUUCUCGAGCAAAAAUCAACAUUUUAUACAACAAUGCAGUUCGAUACAAUUAUAUUUUGUGUGAAGUUUAUAUGAACACUCAUCUGAGUCAAUUGGCUAUCCUCUUCCUAAUAUUUCCUAUGAUUUCUUAUCAAUAUUGUCAUAAAACAAUCAUGUUACUAUGAUAAAAGACAUUUGCUGAGCGAAAUAGUGCUUUAUUAAAUAGUAAAACUGCAUGUCGAUCCAGAUCCUAAUAAAUGAAGAAUGAUUUCUAUUUCGUUCUAGCUUAUAUGCAGUGAUUACUUUAGGUUCAAAUUAUAAAUCCUAUUUCAUGGAGUUUUAAAGCAUUUACCAGAAAUUUUGAGAUGCAUUUUUUGUAAAGUGUCAAUAUUUGCAAGGUUUAUAUUUCAUUGCUGCCCUACUACAUGGGUUUUUAAAUUUUAUUUCAAUUUAUUUAAUUGUCAUUAGUGUACAUGUCACCUACACAGCAGCAGCUGCUGACCUUGCUAUCACUUUGUUUUCCUUUUAGUUUAAUUGCAGCUGAUCCCGUUUGCUUCUUUCAUUUCGAUACCCCAUUAUCAAUACCAUAUUGCUCAUAAGAUGGAUGCAUGUAUUGAUUUAUGUAUGAACAGCAUUAAUAUAAUUAACAUAGCAAUUGUAUAACAGCUAUAACUAAUCAAAUGAUAUCAUAUUUUUAAAACUUAGUAAAUGAGUGGACUAUUAUAUUAUUGUAUAGUAUUAAAUGAAAUAACAUUUGAAUAUGAAAAGAUACAAUUGAUUUGUGACUUGUGUUGGUGAUUUUAAUAUUGUAUAUACUAUAGUGUGCAUUUUGUGUCCUAAAUAAAAAUGAUACAUACAGUGGUGUACACAAUUUGGUCUGAAAACUGCACUUAAAUGUCAUAUAAUAUAUAUCUGCC